CCUACGGGAGGCAGCAGUAGGGAAUUUUCGGCAAUGGGGGGAACCCUGACCGAGCAACGCCGCGUGAACGAAGAAGUUAUUCGUAAUGUAAAGUUCUUUUAACAGGGAAGAAAGAGAAAUUUGACGGUACCUAAAGAAUAAGCUCCUGCUAACUACGUGCCAGCAGCCUCGGUAAUACGUAGGGAGCGAUCGUUAUCCGGAAUUAUUGUGCGAAAAGGGUUCGUAGAUGGCAUAGUAAGUCUUUUGUAAAAAUGCUGGGCUCAACACAGUAUGGCAAAAGUUACUGCAAAGCUAGAGUAUGACAGAGGCAAGUGGAACUACAUGUGUAGCGGUAAAAUGCGUAAAUAUAUGUAAGAACACCAGUGGCGAAGGCGACUUGCUGGGUCGAUACUGACAUUGAGGCACGAAAGCGUGGGGAGCAAACAGGAUUAGAUACCCUAGUAGUC
RNAcentral lists this ribosomal RNA (446 nucleotides) under uncultured bacterium. RNAcentral describes it as "partial 16S ribosomal RNA". It matches the Rfam family "Bacterial small subunit ribosomal RNA", at positions 338 to 795 of the family's 1533-position model. The record is from RNAcentral.